AAGUCGUAACAAGGUUUCCGUAGGUGAACCUGCGGAAGGAUCAUUAACAAAGAUUCUUUCUUUACCCCAAUAUCCGUGUUCUGUCUGGCAUCAACUCACUCUGUCUGGUCGUUGUACCGCAGAGGGGGGUUUUGCCGAGUUUUUCUCAAUACACCCAUAUCCACACUGAUGUGAUUCAUACUUUGUCCUUGCGAUAAAGUAGUCUAACUAAAACAACUGUUAACAACGGAUCACUCGGUUCUCA
This 244-nucleotide unclassified non-coding RNA is filed under the name fungal sp. Its description in RNAcentral is "partial internal transcribed spacer region". The stretch from base 1 to 46 matches the Rfam family "Eukaryotic small subunit ribosomal RNA", at positions 1786 to 1831 of the family's 1831-position model. Lineage: Eukaryota; Fungi. The record is from RNAcentral.